UCUCCCCCAUUGAGUUGCACAGACCAUACAUAUCUGUGACCGGGUCUGAUGUACUCCGCCAUGCCACCAUACAUCCAUCAUUUACAUGAGACGCUUCUCCAGUUGCUCCAAAGACGCUAAGGACUGGAAGGCUUGUAUGGAUCGAGGCGUGCCGGGCCGGCUGGCGGUGAGAUCGCCCUACAUCAUAGACAGGAGCAGAGGGGUCACUGAGAUUUCUUAGAAAUGUUUCCAUCAUAGUCGAUGAUCCUCAUGACAUCCUGGGCAGAUGCCUUCCCACCCUGCGGCCUCCGGACCCUGGGACCAACCUGGAACAUAGAAU
Long non-coding RNA from Hyla sarda, 319 nucleotides. RefSeq lists it as uncharacterized. The transcript has 3 exons. The record is from RefSeq and is a predicted model, not a curated record. Lineage: Eukaryota; Metazoa; Chordata; Amphibia; Anura; Hylidae.